This 1332-nucleotide ribosomal RNA is filed under the name Peltula leptophylla. RNAcentral describes it as "LSU rRNA". It matches the Rfam family "Eukaryotic large subunit ribosomal RNA", at positions 72 to 1417 of the family's 3401-position model. Lineage: Eukaryota; Fungi; Ascomycota; Lichinomycetes; Lichinales; Phylliscaceae. The record is from RNAcentral.
GGAUUGCCUCAGUAACGGCGAGUGAAGCGGCAGCAGCUCAGAUUUAAAAUCUGGCCCACCGGUGGGCCCGAGUUGUAGUCUGGAGAGGAUGCUUCGGGGGCGAGUUGGGCGGAAGUCCCUUGGGAUAGGGCGUCAGAGAGGGUGAGAAUCCCGUCUGUGGUCCAAGCUCCGUCCCCCAGGUGAAGCUCCCUCGACGAGUCGAGUUGUUUGGGAAUGCAGCUCAAACCGGGUGGUAAAUCUCAUCUAAAGCUAAAUACCGGCCAGAGACCGAUAGCGCACAAGUAGAGUGAUCGAAAGAUGAAAAGCACUUUGAAAAGAGAGUUAAACAGCACGUGAAAUUGUUGAAAGGGAAGCGCUCGCGAUCAGCCUUGCCCGUGGCCCCUCAGGUGGCAGUCCCCUGUCGCUCGCACUGGGUCACGGGCAGGCCAGCAUCGGUCCGAGGGGUGGAAGAAAGGCCCCGGGAAUGUGGCUCCCUUCGGGGUGCGUUAUAGCCCGGGGUGUGACGUCGCCCUCUGGACCGAGGCCCGCGCUCCGGCAAGGAUGCUGGCGUAAUGGUCGCCAGCGACCCGUCUUGAAACACGGACCAAGGAGUCUAACAUCCACGCGAGUGUUUGGGCGUCAAACCCCGACGCGCAAUGAAAGUGAACGGAGGUGGGACCCCGUAUAGGAGCACCAUCGACCGAUCCUGAAGUCUACGGAUGGAUUUGAGUAUGAGCGUGGCUGUUGGGACCCGAAAGAUGGUGAACUAUGCCUGAAUAGGGUGAAGCCAGAGGAAACUCUGGUGGAGGCUCGCAGCGGUUCUGACGUGCAAAUCGAUCGUCAAAUUUGGGUAUAGGGGCGAAAGACUAAUCGAACCAUUUAGUAGCUGGUUCCUGCCGAAGUUUCCCUCAGGAUAGCAGUGACGUGUGGCAGUUUUAUGAGGUAAAGCGAAUGAUUAGAGGCCUUGGGGUUGAAACAACCUUAACCUAUUCUCAAACUUUGAAUAUGUAAGAAGUCCUUGUUGCUCAGUUGAACGUGGACAUUUGAAUGUACCGUCACUAGUGGGCCAUUUUUGGUAAGCAGAACUGGCGAUGCGGGAUGAACCGAACGUGGGGUUAAGGUGCCGGAAUGCACGCUCAUCAGACACCACAAAAGGUGUUGGUUCAUCUAGACAGCAGGACGGUGGCCAUGGAAGUCGGAACCCGCUAAGGAGUGUGUAACAACUCACCUGCCGAAUGAACUAGCCCUGAAAAUGGAUGGCGCUCAAGCGUGCUACCUAUACCCCGCCGCCAGGGUAGGAACGAUGUCCUGGCGAGUAGGCAGGCGUGGGGGUCUGUGACGAAGCCUCGGGAG